AAGAUAUUAGUAAAAUAUAUUACAUCACUUUGUCAAGGUGAAAUUGCAAGUUAGAUUCUUGUGUAUCUUU
RNAcentral lists this transfer RNA (70 nucleotides) under Tanakia himantegus. RNAcentral describes it as "tRNA-Asp". It matches the Rfam family "tRNA". Rfam says of the family: Transfer RNA (tRNA) molecules are approximately 80 nucleotides in length. Their secondary structure includes four short double-helical elements and three loops (D, anti-codon, and T loops). The record is from RNAcentral. RNAcentral also lists the same sequence under 1 other name. Lineage: Eukaryota; Metazoa; Chordata; Actinopteri; Cypriniformes; Acheilognathidae.